GUUAAAAGGCUCGUAGUUGGAUCUCGGCGGGCAGGGGGUGGUUCGCUCUUCAGCGCUACUGCCCCGCUUUGCCCGUGUGAUUGGCGGAGGUUUCGGGGUGCUCUUCGUUGAGUGACUCGGAGCGCCGUCAGGUUUACUUUGAAAAAAUUAGAGUGCUCAAAGCAGGCUUUUCACGCUUGAAUAUUCGUGCAUGGAAUAAUGGAAUAGGAACUCGUUUCUAUUUUGUUGGUUUUCGGAAAUCGAGUUAAUGAUUAACAGGGACAAUUGGGGGCAUUAGUAUUCAGACGACAGAGGUGAAAUUCAUGGACCGUCUGAAGACUGACUACUGCGAAAGCAUUUGCCAAGAGUGUUUUCAUUAAUCAAGAACGAAAGUUAGAGGUUCGAAGGCGAUCAGAUACCGCCCUAGUUCUAACCAUAAACGAUGCCAGCUAGCGAUCUGCCGAGUUUUUUUUGUAGGCUCCGCAGGAAGCUUUCGGGAAACCAAAGCUUUUGGGUUCCGGGGGAAGUAUGGUUGCAAAGCUGAAACUUAAAGGAAUUGACGGAAGGGCACCACCAGGAGUGGAGCCUGCGGCUUAAUUUGACUCAACACGGGAAAUCUCACCAGGCCCGGACACUGGAAGGAUUGACAGAUUGAGAGCUCUUUCUCGAU
This 649-nucleotide ribosomal RNA is filed under the name uncultured marine eukaryote. RNAcentral's name for it is "SSU rRNA". It matches the Rfam family "Eukaryotic small subunit ribosomal RNA", at positions 618 to 1266 of the family's 1831-position model. The record is from RNAcentral.